Molecule: long non-coding RNA, 1082 nt
Filed under: Parus major (Great Tit)
Lineage: Eukaryota; Metazoa; Chordata; Aves; Passeriformes; Paridae
Description: lncRNA (ENSPMJG00000003063.1)
Source: RNAcentral
UGGUGGUGUAAUGAUGGUGAUGUGGUUGGGUGAUGAAGAUGGUGGUGGUGAUGAUGAUGGUGAUGUGGUUGGGUGAUGAAGAUGAUGGUGGUGGUGUAAUGAUGGUGAUGUGGUUGGGUGAUGAAGAUGGUGGUGAUGAUGGUGGUGGUGUAGUGAUGGUGGUGUGGUUGGGUGAUGAAGAUGAUGGUGGUGGUGUAAUGGUGAUGUGGUUGGGUGAUGAUGAUGAUGGUGGUGGUGUAAUGAUGGUGAUGUGGUUGGGUGAUGAAGAUGAUGGUGGUGUAAUGAUAGUGAUGUGGUUGGGUGAUGAAGAUGAUGGUGAUGAUGAUGGUGGUGGUGAUGAUGAUGAUGGUGGUGUAGUGAUGGUGAUGUAGUUGGGUGAUGAAGAUGGUGGUGGUGAUGAUGAUGGUGUGAUGAUGAAAUGCUGAUGCUUCUGAUGAAGAUGCUGAUGGUGUUGGGUGAUGACAAUGGAAAUGAUGGAGUUCACUCUGGUGUUGAUGAUGAAGACUAAGGUGUGGCUGAUGGUAAUGAUGACGACGGAGAUGGUGAUGGUCAUGAUGAUGAUGAUGAUGAUGAUGGUGUACGUGUCACCCUGAUGGUGUUGGUUGUGUCGGAGUUGACUGGUUAUGAUGGUGUUAGUGAUGAAGAUGAAGGUGAUGAAGAUGAAGGUGAUGAAGAUGAAGGUGUGGGUGAUGAAGAUGAAGGUGUCAGUGAGGAAGAUGAAGGUGUGGCUGGUGUGGUGGUAGCAGUGUUGACGGUGCUGUGUAAUGCUGAUGGUGUUUGAUGGUGUUGAGUGGGGUUGCUGGUGAACACGGUGUGUGUGAUGAAGAUGAAGGUGUGGGUGAUGAAGAUGAAGGUGUGGGUGAUGAAGAUGAAGGUGUCAGUGAGGAAGAUGAAGGUGUGUGUGAUGAAGACGAAGGUGUCAAUGAGGAAGACGAAGGUGUGGGUGAUGAAGAUGAAGGUGUGGGUGAUGAAGAUGAAGGUGUCAGUGAGGAAGAUGAUGGUGUGGAUGAUGAAUAUCGUGAUGACAAAGGUGAUGGCGAUGAUGGUAUUGAUGAUGAAUGUGAAGGUGUGGGUGAUGAAGA